AUUGAACGCUGGCGGCAGGCUUAACACAUGCAAGUCGAGCGAGCGGCGGACGCGUGAGUAUUGCCUGGGAAACUGCCUGCUGGAGGGGGAUAACUACUGGAAACGGUAGCUAAUACCGCAUACCAUCAGAUGUGCCCAGAUGGGGUUAGCUAGUAGGUGGGGUAAUGGCUCACCUAGGCGACGAUCCCUAGCUGGUCUGAGAGGAUGACCAGCCACACGGGAACUGAGACGCGGUACAGACUACUACGAGAGGCAGCAGUGGGGAAUAUUGCACAAUGGGCGCAGGCCUGAUGCAGCCAUGCCGCGUGUGUGAAGAAGGCCUUCGGGUUGUAAAGCACAAUCAGCGAGGAGGAGUUACUCGCAGAAGAAGCACCGGCUAACUCCGUGCCAGCAGCCGCGGUAAUUC
This 406-nucleotide ribosomal RNA is filed under the name uncultured bacterium. Its description in RNAcentral is "partial 16S ribosomal RNA". It matches the Rfam family "Bacterial small subunit ribosomal RNA", at positions 30 to 526 of the family's 1533-position model. The record is from RNAcentral.